UUUUAUGGAGAGUUUGAUCCUGGCUCAGGAUGAACGCUGGCGGCGUGCCUAAUACAUGCAAGUCGAGCGAACGGAUGAGAAGCUUGCUUCUCUGAUGUUAGCGGCGGACGGGUGAGUAACACGUGGAUAACCUACCUAUAAGACUGGGAUAACUUCGGGAAACCGGAGCUAAUACCGGAUAAUAUUUUGAACCGCAUGGUUCAAAAGUGAAAGACGGUCUUGCUGUCACUUAUAGAUGGAUCCGCGCUGCAUUAGCUAGUUGGUAAGGUAACGGCUUACCAAGGCAACGAUGCAUAGCCGACCUGAGAGGGUGAUCGGCCACACUGGAACUGAGACACGGUCCAGACUCCUACGGGAGGCAGCAGUAGGGAAUCUUCCGCAAUGGGCGAAAGCCUGACGGAGCAACGCCGCGUGAGUGAUGAAG
Molecule: ribosomal RNA, 424 nt
Filed under: Staphylococcus aureus
Lineage: Bacteria; Bacillati; Bacillota; Bacilli; Caryophanales; Staphylococcaceae
Description: bacterial SSU rRNA
Rfam family: Bacterial small subunit ribosomal RNA
Source: RNAcentral